RNAcentral lists this ribosomal RNA (429 nucleotides) under Fusobacteriota bacterium. Its description in RNAcentral is "Fusobacteria bacterium partial 16S ribosomal RNA". It matches the Rfam family "Bacterial small subunit ribosomal RNA", at positions 355 to 776 of the family's 1533-position model. Lineage: Bacteria; Fusobacteriati; Fusobacteriota. The record is from RNAcentral.
UGGGGAAUAUUGCACAAUGGGCGCAAGCCUGAUGCAGCCAUGCCGCGUGUAUGAAGAAGGCCUUCGGUUUGUAAAGUACUUUCAGCGGGGAGGAAGGGAGUAAAGUUAAUACCUUUGCUCAUUGACGUUACCCGCAGAAGAAGCACCGGCUAACUCCGUGCCAGCAGCCGCGGUAAUACGGAGGGUGCAAGCGUUAAUCGGAAUUACUGGGCGUAAAGCGCACGCAGGCGGUUUGUUAAGUCAGAUGUGAAAUCCCCGGGCUCAACCUGGGAACGGCAUCUGAUACUGGCAAGCUUGGGGCACGUAGAGGGGGGUAGAAUUCCAGGUGUAGCGGUGAAAUGCGUAGAGAUCUGGAGGAAUACCGGUGGCGAAGGCGGCCCCCUGGACGAAGACUGACGCUCAGGUGCGAAAGCGUGGGGAGCAAACAGG